UUUCUUUUUUUUUUUUUCCUUAAUGAAACAUUUCCAGUCAGUGUGUUCCCCUACCACUGCCACUGCUCAAUUCCAGCUCUAAGUUUCCUUCCCUUUCCUUGUCAUACAUGUAAAUCAAACCCCUGCCAGGUUGGUCAAAGGCAGUUGUUGUGCCCAUGUGGAAGCCCAGCAGCUGCAUUCCUGAUGUACUGCCUGGCAUCCACCUGGAAUGGCUUUCUAGGAUGUUCCCAAGAGCUCUGCAAGGAGCCCAGCAGCCAGGUAAAAUCCCAGUAUUUGGUUCAAAUGGAACCUGUGAAUUCAGUCAAGGUGUGCCCCAUCCCUUUUCCAAGGGCUGUGCUGGACAUUGAGGCACCAGCUGCCCCAUGUUCAAGGUUACUGUUAGUUCAUGGAUUUUUAAAUUGCAUCUCAGGGAGUUUUUAAAACUUUGGUGCAAGAGAAGAUGCCUUUUUCCUUUGCAGACUCCUUGAGUGCUCUGCACUGGGGAGAUGAUGUUCCAUUUGCUGCAGCUCCACAGACACUGUGGUGGCUGGCAGACUCCAGGCAGGAGUGAUUGCCCUGGUGUUUUAUUAGCUCCCAGAAAAUAUAUAGCAGGGAAAGAGGCCAUGGAGGCUCCAGCACAGUCUGCCUGAGCUCUGACCCCUCGGGCAAGAGGCUACAUUGCUUUUACAGCCAGCACUUAACCUUGCUGCUAAGACUUGUCAACAAGGAGGCCAAUUAGCAGCAGAUAAGAUGGUGGGUGAUAUAAUGCAGAUGUCUGUCUGUUAGGAGCAUAACUGAUGUAUUUUUAACACAACAAGGAUCUUAAAACAUGGCUCUGCAUAAAUGAUGCCAUCCCCUCCACUGUAGAGAAGCCCUCUCAACAGUGGAGAGUUACAGAAAAUUGUAGGUUUGUUGUUUUAGUUUGGUUUGGCUUUUUUUUCCCCUCCAGUAAAUUCUCUCUUAAAGCCUUGUUCUGCUAGGCUCAUGAUGACUAUGGCAUGUGUAGGAUUGUAAGAAACAACUAUGAAAAAAAAUGACAAUUUUAGGCUUAUUUUUCUAAACAUACGUUAAAAAUGUACAUAGAUUCAGAAUGAAAACAGGACACUUCUUGUUUUCCUGAAAGAGUCACUACACAACUGGACCUGUUUUCUGUAAUCAAACAUCAUUAUUGGAAUAUUAUCAGAAAAUACAGACUCGGGAAAUUUGAGUUGAUUAAAAUCAUGCAGGCCUACAAGGCUGUUAUAGCCUCCUGCUGCAAAGGGCAUGUCACACUAAUACCCCUGUUUGGGGGAACACAGGGGUUUUCUGUCAGACUAAAGCUACAGGGGCUGAUUGCAGGCAGUUCAUGUUUUGGUUGAGACUGGCAGUCAGGAUAAUUCAGUAAGAUAAUUCAGGGCCCUCCCAGCUUAUUUUAAGUAAUUCUUCAGUCUGGUUUUAGUGAUUUAGAACUUAUUUAAACAAUUAAGCCACUUUUUCAUAGUAUCACAGAAUGGUUUGCACUGGAAGGGAUCUGAAAGUCAUUCAGUUCCAACCCUCCUGCCACGGACAGGGACACCUUCUGCUGGACCAGAUUGUUGAGUCCCCACCAGGCUGGCCUUGAACAUUUACAGGGAUGGAGCAUCCACAGCUGCUAUGGGUAUGAUUUGCAUGAUUGCCUUUUAAUUGCUAGGAUAACUAUUAAUGUCUAGUGCAAAAAAACUCCACAGAGAGUCUCUUGUAUAUUUUCUAUUAGAGGUACAAUGUGGGCAGGAAGAGAGAGACACACCAUCACUUACCAACUCUGUGUCAAAGCUUUUCUUUCAGCUAAAGAGCCAGCAGCAGAAGAGGAGCAGUGCAUUCCAACAGCCAGCAACCUGUACAAGCAAGAGCAAGCCCACCAAACUACUGCUUAAGGAUCUGAUUUUUUUGAAAUGCGUGACUGAAGGAAGGACAGAGUGCGCAGAAGAGGAAUUAUCCCCCUUGCAGAACUGACCUGGACGGUUGCUAAAAGCCCACAGAGAGAAGUCCUGGAGCUGUCCUCGGACUAUUUGCUAUAUUUCCUCAUCAGGAGUAAGAGACACAGCUUUCCUUUACAAUUUCAAAAUUGAAGAUUAAUAUCACUGAUAAGAAGAAAAAAAGUAAAGACGUUAUCUUGUCUUGUAGGAGAAUCCUUUCCCCCUCCCUCCAAAUCAACUCUAAAUAUAGUUAAGGUAAAAAAAAAGAGAGGAAGGAAAACCAAAAGAAACCAGAAUAUAGCCAACCUUUUUAAUUAGAGUAUAUUGUACUUCCAAACUGGAUACACUAGAAAUUGGCAAUGCAACAUAAAAUGCAAAGAAAUAUACCAGUUACUGUCAAAAUGACCCUGUACAGCCUUAUAAUGCAAAAAGCUUUAUACAAUACAAAUUUUUAUUAAUGUACACAAACCUUGACAGAAUGAUAUUUGAACAUAAUACAACAAGUAAAAAAAAAAGAAGAAAGAAAAAAGUGCUGAGAACUUUAACUGAAUUACUGAAUGGAAAAACAUUCCAGCUUUCAUUAAAGAAUGCAUAGUGAAAACCAGUAUGAAAUUACCUUUAUGGUGGGGGAAUUUAUCAGAACUGUUGGUCAUUAAUCAGUAGGGGGAACCUCUGGAGAACAUUCCUGUCUUUAGUCUUGAACUGCAAACAAAUUAUUUUCAUAUGCAAGAGCUCUGAUAAAUAGGGUAUUUUUUUUUUCUUAAAAAAAUAAAAACCUCCUAACACACUUUUCCUUACAGAGAAAACUUAUAUAACUUGCCAGAAAGGAUGAAUUUAUCCUUCCAAAGUGCUAAACAAAUUUCCCAGGUACACUAAACAUUGCCAGGUCAGAUACUGGUGCAGUGGAACAUGGUCAAAAUCACACAGCAGUCGCAUGUGGGCAGCUCAUUCUUGGAAGUCACAGCCCCACUUAAGCUGCCAAUUGGUUUAGAUACAGUGGCCGACUAUUAUAACAUUCCUCCUUCUUCUUCCUCCUGGACAGCUGUACUUUACCUGUAGUUGGUGUGAAAAACAAGCUUUUUGAUUUGGGAGUGUUUGGUUUUCUGUGGUGUGGUCAGAGAUGUGCGUGUGGAGCGUGUUUUACAGAACUGGUAGAGCUGCUGGAUACAGAGUGCAGAUUUCAUGCUGUCAAGAUAGUAACUAUUUUAUGCUCUGAGUACUUCCCAACACAGUGUUUUCUAUUUUGUCUGUACUCCCAGGGAGGUGUGAGAAGGAGCUCUGAUGGAGUAAAGCGUGGAGAGCAGGGCCCUGAGUUGGGUAAGUUGUUGACAGGUUUACACGCAGUUUGGAGCAGAUGGGUUUUCCUCACUGCGUAGACAGAACUGCCAAGUGCUCAUUAGAACCAAAACUGUCUGCUGGAAUGUAAACAAAUGGUGAGACUUCUCUGUCCUGUAAUUAAUAAUGCCAAAUGAUAACCUGCUGUGAUUUUGGAUAUUUCCCCCUUGUAACUAGCUUCCAGUAUGGUAACAGGAGUGUGCAGAUUAGGAUGUCCUCCACAUACAGGAAGUAUUUGGUCAUGACAGUGGAGAAUGUUUGGCCAUCUCAAUGCAAAACAAAUGUAGGAAUCUUGCAAAUGGGUUAAAGUGAUGCAAGUUUUGCAUCCAGAAAGUCUUUCUACACAAGCUUAAUUUAAGAACUAAUGAAGAUGGAGUUACAUUUCUACUUGUCCAUAUGGCUAAGAGCCCUUGUGGACAAGAAAUGCUUUCCUGCUGGGGUGGUUGGAUUCCCCCAUCCCACAACAACCUGUAGAGGAAGUUCCUUCAGGAAAGCAUGAGGGUGGGUAGAUAGCAUGAAAGAUGUGACUCAGGGCACCUCCUACAGUGGCUUGGCCAAGGGACAGGGAGGGGACUGUGGCAAAAGCUAGGUCAGACACUUCUAAUAGCUGGUAAAGGACAGCCAGAUCCAAAUCCAAGAGACACCAUGGAAAACAAUAAUUCAGAAUGAAGGCAUUCCUGUACAUCAUAUGAUCAUUUUGAAAUGCUUCACUUUUUAUACUUCCAAUUGUAAAACAGAGUGCUUUUAAUCCCAGUCUUUCUUCACAAUAUAUUAAGUUGUCUAAGGAACAAAAAUCAAUUAACAGUGGGUUAGCUUCUCUUGCAUUAAGAUCACUCUUGGCAUUUUGAGAUUAACAAAGGUUAUACAACCAAUCUGCAUUCACUUCUUCCUGCAAUAAAGUGCUACAUGUAACAUAUCAUUUUAAUGAGCACAAGUAGGAGCAUUAAAUAAGUACAACGUUAUCUUCCUAGCAGGACACACUCUAUCUGCCAUCAACAGAAAGGAAUAAAGUAUUACUGAUGACAUGGAGGGGAGCGAGAGGACUGUCAAAUUUGCAAGUACAAUUGAAAUACUGAGGGUAUAAAAGAGAACUUUAUGAUUCCAAAAGCAUCUUUUUAUAGCUUUAUAUUUCAAAGAAGUUACUGGUACCUUUUCAAAUAAACAAUCUUAUUAACUUCAGCCCAAAAUUUGUUUUUUUCUUUUUUUUUUUUUUUUUGCAAGUGAGAAACAAACUAGUGCAAGACUAAAGCACUGUGCAAAACUGCCUUUUUUUUUUAGUCUGAGUAUUUAUACCCAGAAUUUAUCCAUACCCUUUUUAAAAUCCCCUUGUUGGAUUUUUUUUCCACCAUAGAAUUCUAGUUAUACAAGUUGUUCCUGCAAAGUAAAAGGUAACCACUGCAUAAUACAGUAUAUAUAUAAUAUUUAUAUGCCCUUUUAAAACAAAAGAUGUAUGCUGUGGCCCAGGGGCAGGUGUUUGUCACACCUGUGUAAAAGCGGAGAAUUGGGCCUGCUGUGUGGGUGUGUAGGCUGCACACAGCAUGUGUGUGGAUAUACACACUCUUUUCAUUGUCAUGCUCUCAUCCUGCAAUGCUGAAAGCAACUUCUUUUCCUCACCAGUUCUACCCCAAAGCCUCAAACCUUAACAACUGAAUACAAGGCAUCAAACAACUAAAGGAAGCUGCAAACAGCACUGAAAGAAUACACCAGUUCUCCACCUGCCCCGCCCCAAACAUUGCUCCUGAACUGCUCCACAGUUCAGGGGCAGGCAGGGGGAAGGCAGAGAGUGAGGGUGUGGAAAGGGGAAAAGAAGGAUGAUUAAAGAAGCGAAUCCAAGGGAUGUGCAAAAGCAAUGUCAUGGCACACUACAGGCAGCCUCUCUUCCACGCACCUGCACGCACACAAAGCCCAAAAAUAAAAUGCAUCAAUAUGUCAUCUUACAAGUGCUGAUUGC
Non-coding RNA from Taeniopygia guttata (zebra finch), 5199 nucleotides. NCBI's taxonomy places the organism in Eukaryota, Metazoa, Chordata, Aves, Passeriformes, Estrildidae. The record is from RefSeq and is a predicted model, not a curated record.